AGGUAGUUGGUGAGGUAACGGCCCACCAAGCCGACGAUCGGUAGCCGACCUGAGAGGGUGAUCGGCCACAUUGGGACUGAGACACGGCCCAAACUCCUACGGGAGGCAGCAGUGGGAAUAUUGGGCAAUGGAGGAAACUCUGACCCAGCAACGCCGCGUGGAGGAAGAAGGUUUUCGGAUCGUAAACUCCUGUCCUUGGAGACGAGUAGAAGACGGUAUCCAAGGAGGAAGCCCCGGCUAACUACGUGCCAGCAGCCGCGGUAAUACGUAGGGGGCAAGCGUUGUCCGGAAUAAUUGGGCGUAAAGGGCGCGUAGGCGGCUCGGUAAGUCUGGAGUGAAAGUCCUGCUUUUAAGGUGGGAAUUGCUUUGGAUACUGUCGGGCUUGAGUGCAGGAGAGGUUAGUGGAAUUCCCAGUGUAGCGGUGAAAUGCGUAGAGAUUGGGAGGAACACCAGUGGCGAAGGCGACUAACUGGACUGUAACUGACGCUGAGGCGCGAAAGUGUGGGGAGCAAACAGGAUUAGAUACCCUGGUAGUCCACACUGUAAACGAUGAAUGCUAGGUGUAGGGGGUAUCGACCCCUUCUGUGCCGCAGUCAACACAAUAAGCAUUCCGCCUGGGGAGUACGGCCGCAAGGUUGAAACUCAAAGGAAUUGACGGGGGCCCGCACAAGCAGCGGAGCAUGUGGUUUAAUUCGACGCAACGCGAAGAACCUUACCAGGUCUUGACAUCCACUUAAACUUACAGAGAUGUAAGGUGUGCUUGCACAAAGUGAGACAGGUGGUGCAUGGUUGUCGUCAGCUCGUGUCGUGAGAUGUUGGGUUAAGUCCCGCAACGAGCGCAACCCUUAUCUUCAGUUACUAACGCGUGAGGGUGAGGACUCUGAAGAGACUGCCGGGGACAACUCGGAGGAAGGUGGGGACGACGUCAAAUCAUCAUGCCCCUUAUGACCUGGGCUACACACGUGCUACAAUGGCCACGACAGAGAGAAGCGAAAUCGCAAGGUAGAGCGGAACUCAAAAGAGUGGUCCCAGUUCGGAUUGUGGGCUGCAACCCGCCCACAUGAAGUCGGAGUUGCUAGUAAUCGCGGAUCAGCAUGCCGCGGUGAAUACGUUCCCGGGCCUUGUACACACCGCCCGUCACACCAUGGGAGUUGGGAGUGCCCAAAGCCGGUGAGGCAACCGCAAGGAGCCAGCCGUCUAAGGCAAGACCAAUGACUGGGGUGAAGUCGUAACAAGGUAGCCGUAUCGGGAGGUGCGGCUG
This 1261-nucleotide ribosomal RNA is filed under the name metagenome. Its description in RNAcentral is "bacterial SSU rRNA". It matches the Rfam family "Bacterial small subunit ribosomal RNA", at positions 243 to 1520 of the family's 1533-position model. The record is from RNAcentral.